Molecule: RNA transcript, 2698 nt
Organism: Camelus dromedarius (Arabian camel)
Lineage: Eukaryota; Metazoa; Chordata; Mammalia; Artiodactyla; Camelidae
Gene: PRR16
Gene name: proline rich 16
Exons: 4
Source: RefSeq, a predicted model, not a curated record
GCGCCGCGUCUCGGGGAGUUGAUGGCAGCACCACAGUGCGGCCGCCCGGCCGUGCGCCGAGCGCAGCCAGCAGCCGCUGCCCUGGGAGCGUCCAAGAUGUGGUGGGAUCGGGGCGGCAGCGGCCGCAGCGGCGCCAGGGACCGGGGCGCGCAGCAGGCUCCGCUCGCCCGCCUGUGCUGACCUGCCUCACUUGCCCCAAAGAAUGUCAGCCAAGUCCAAGGGGACCCCCUCCUCGUCCUCUCCAGCCGAGGGACCGCCGGCAGCCUCCAAAACCAAGGUGAAGGAACAGAUCAAGAUCAUCGUGGAGGAUCUGGAAUUAGUCCUGGGCGACCUGAAGGACGUGGCCAAAGAACUUAAGGAGGUGGUUGACCAGAUUGAUACCCUGACCUCUGACCUACAGCUGGAGGAUGAGAUGACCGACAGCUCCAAAACGGACACCCUCAAUAGUAGCUCCAGCGGCACGACAGCCUCCAGCAUAGAGAAGAUCAAAGUGCAGGCCAAUGCCCCUCUCAUUAAACCCCCAGCCCACCCAUCUGCUAUCCUCACGGUCCUGAGAAAGCCCAACCCUCCGCCACCUCCUCCGCGGCUGACACCUGUGAAGUGUGAAGACCCCCAACGGGUGGUGCCCGCUGUCAAUCCGGUCAAGACCAACGGCACCCUUCUGCGAAAUGGAGGCUUCCCAGGGGCACCAAACAAAAUUCCAAACGGAGACAUCUGCUGCAAACCCAGCAGUCGCUUGGACAAGGCUCCGGUGCAGGCUCUGAUGCAUAGACCUGAAAAAGACAGGUGCCCCCAAGCAGGGCCGCGGGAACGAGUUCGGUUUAAUGAAAAAGUGCAGUACCAUGGCUAUUGCCCUGACUGUGACACCCGGUAUAACAUCAGAAACAGGGAGGUCCACUUACACAGCGAGCCCGUCCACCCGCCAGGAAAGCUCCCUCCCCAAGGCCCUCCCCACCCUCCGCCCUCACAUCUCCCUCCUUUCCCAGUAGAAAAUGGGGGGCUGGGAAUAAGCCACAGUAACAGCUUCCCCCCUCUCAGACCUGCAACUGUGCCUCCUCCCACCGCACCAAAACCGCAGAAGACGAUCUUGAGGAAAUCGACCACUACAACAGUGUGAUAUAUGCCAUUUAAAAAAAACUUUUUCUUUUUUUUUUAAUUUCUAUAUUAUAAACAUAAAAUAAUAAGUAAUGAGCACUUUCUACUCAAGCAAUAAAAAGCCCAAAUAUAUUUAUCCUGCAUUCAGCAAAGUGGCAUAAAAAUCACCUGAUCACACUUACCAAUGGACAAAAGUUCACUUCUUAACUACCAUGAUUUGGACCGAUCAUAUGAUUUGCCCUGGAGUUAGAAAUGAGUCGACUGCCUUAGAAUCGUGAUGACAGCUCCUUCAGGUUGGAAGGAAUACCUUUAUUUGGAGGAUUGUCAGUUCAUUUUUCUCACUUCAAAUUCAUCAUUAUGACUUCUUGAGGCCAGAUCUAAUUUUGCAGUAGCCAGGAACCUGUCCAUCUUGGAGCAGCAAGCCCCUCAACUCUGGAGCACAAAUGAUCACUGAUACGGUCUGCAUAAAGUCAUCUGCCUCUAGUUUGACAGCCAUGAGAAGAGCCCCGGGGGCAAAAAAAGCCACAGCCUUAAAUCUCUUCACUCAGAAAUUACAAAGAAGAUUAAAAUAAAUAAGUAAAUAAAUAAAUAAAUACAUAAAUAAAUAAAUGUAAAGGACUGAGCAAGCAAGCCUACAAAACAAACAAACAAACAAAAAACAACCAAAAAAUAAAACUAACAAAACCCAGCUUAUUUUACCAUGGAAAUAAACAUUCCUAGUUGUGAACCCAAGAAAAUUUAUAUUCAGUAAUUCAGCUAGUGAAUUAUAAAUUGAUUUAUCAUUUGGGAAGGUGAGUAUAGAAACAGAAGGUCACUAUAGCUAGAACUACUCAGCAUUUCAAAAUACUGAGUAGACAAAACAAAAACAAAAACAAAACUGAACAGAGGAACACUGUAGCAAUGAACAGUAUUAGGACAGAAUGUUGCGGUUUGCAGAGAGAGAGAAUGUUUGCCAUUUUGUGUAUGCCCUCAAAGCCAUAAGGGAAUAAGAGCAGUGUUGUCAAUUGCUUGAAAGUUUCUGCAUUCAAUCCUUCACCCCAUAUUGGUUGAGAGAGAGGGAGGUCAGUUGUUACUGAUAAUUUCUCAAUGCUCUUCUACUAUUUGCACUGUCACUUCCAUUCAGGGUAAUGAUGUGUGCUGUUAUUUGCACAGAAGGUCCCUGGAGUUUUGAGACCACAACAGUUUCAUGUAGGAGUCCAAAAAGGAAAGAUUUAAGAAUUCUGCAGACAUUGAUUUCUCUGUCUUCUAUUAAAAGAAAAAAAUCAAUUAUCUCAUAAAAAAAUGGACUCAUCUCAGAUUACAGAACAACUAUAGAAUAACAAUGAAAAAAGCAUCAGUGUGGUCAAAUGAAUGAAAAAGGGAUCAAAAGUUUUUUUAGUGAAGAUCAUUUUAUAUCAUUAACAGCCAAGAAGUUACAAAUACAGUUAACUGUACACUAAACAUCUGUGUUGAACAUCUAUUCUCUUAAUUAAGAAAAUCAUUUGUAAUUUGUAUUUGACAUUUAAGAGUUUUUUAUAGCCAUUUAUCUAUGCUUCAUGGGAAAAUGUACCAGACAAACAGCAUUUUCAGUUUAUUUUUCUAAAUAAAUGUGUUGUUUGUAUUA